RNAcentral lists this ribosomal RNA (1174 nucleotides) under uncultured Alphaproteobacteria bacterium. Its description in RNAcentral is "bacterial SSU rRNA". It matches the Rfam family "Bacterial small subunit ribosomal RNA", at positions 57 to 1290 of the family's 1533-position model. Lineage: Bacteria; Pseudomonadati; Pseudomonadota; Alphaproteobacteria. The record is from RNAcentral.
GCAAGUCGAACGGUAACAUUUCUAGCUUGCUAGAAGAUGACGAGUGGCGGACGGGUGAGUAAUGCUUGGGAACUUGCCUUUGCGAGGGGGAUAACAGUUGGAAACGACUGCUAAUACCGCAUAAUGUCUUCGGACCAAACGGGGCUUCGGCUCCGGCGCAAAGAGAGGCCCAAGUGAGAUUAGCUAGUUGGUAAGGUAACGGCUUACCAAGGCGACGAUCUCUAGCUGUUCUGAGAGGAAGAUCAGCCACACUGGGACUGAGACACGGCCCAAACUCCUACGGGAGGCAGCAGUAGGGAAUAUUGCACAAUGGAGGAAACUCUGAUGCAGCGAUGCCGCGUGAGUGAAGAAGGCCCUUGGGUUGUAAAGCUCUUUCGUCGGGGAAGAAAAUGACUGUACCCGAAUAAGAAGGUCCGGCUAACUUCGUGCCAGCAGCCGCGGUAAUACGAAGGGACCUAGCGUAGUUCGGAAUUACUGGGCUUAAAGAGUUCGUAGGUGGUUAAAAAAGUUGGUUGUGAAAUCCCGGAGCUUAACUCCGGAACUGCAAUCAAAACUUUUUAGCUAGAGUAUGAUAGAGGAAAGCAGAAUUUCUAGUGUAGAGGUGAAAUUCGUAGAUAUUAGAAAGAAUACCAAUUGCGAAGGCAGCUUUCUGGAUCAUUACUGACACUGAGGAACGAAAGCAUGGGUAGCGAAGAGGAUUAGAUACCCUCGUAGUCCAUGCCGUAAACGAUGUGUGUUAGACGUUGGAAAUUAAUUUUUAGUGUCGCAGCGAAAGCAAUAAAUACACCGCCUGGGGAGUACGACCGCAAGGUUAAAACUCAAAUGAAUUGACGGGGACCCGCACAAGUAGUGAGCAUGUGUUUAACUUCGAAGAUACGCGCAGAACCUUACCAACACUUGACAUGUUCGUCGCGACUCUAAGAGAUUAGAGUUUUCGGUUUGCCGGACGAAACACAGCUGCUGCAUGCUGUCGUCAGCUCGUGUCGUGAGAUGUGGAUAGUCCCGCACGAGCGCAGCCUCACUUUAGUGCAUCAUUAGUGGUACUCUGAAGACUGCAAGUGAUAGCUGAAGGAGUGGGAUGACGUCAGUCUCAUGCGUUAUGUGGUGACUACCACGUGCUACAUGCAUGCAAUAGAGCCAGAUGCACGUCGAGCCAGAUCCUAAAAAAUGCUCG